This 69-nucleotide transfer RNA is filed under the name Ictidomys tridecemlineatus (thirteen-lined ground squirrel). RNAcentral describes it as "Spermophilus tridecemlineatus (thirteen-lined ground squirrel) tRNA". It matches the Rfam family "tRNA". Rfam says of the family: Transfer RNA (tRNA) molecules are approximately 80 nucleotides in length. Their secondary structure includes four short double-helical elements and three loops (D, anti-codon, and T loops). Lineage: Eukaryota; Metazoa; Chordata; Mammalia; Rodentia; Sciuridae. The record is from Rfam by way of RNAcentral.
GGGGCUGUAGCUUAGUGGUAGAGCACUUGCCUUGCAUGUGUGAAGCACUGGGUUCAAUCCUUAGCACCA